CUCACCAUGGAACCGUACUCUGAUGAGCAUCUAAGAAACACAGAAACUCAGAAAUGAAACCAUGUGGCUCUGGCACUGCUGACAUAGAAUCACUGAUAUUUCAAAUAUCAGACUUCUCAAAAAGAAGGUACAAUGAGGAGUCAGGAGUCUGCAACAUGGAAGAGAGCUCUCACCAGAAUCCGAUCAUGCUGGCACCCUAAUUUCAAAUUUCCAGCCUCCAGAACUGUA
RNAcentral lists this long non-coding RNA (228 nucleotides) under Homo sapiens (human). RNAcentral describes it as "HSALNT0074888". Lineage: Eukaryota; Metazoa; Chordata; Mammalia; Primates; Hominidae. The record is from RNAcentral.